UCCGGUUUGGCACCGGCAGUCUUCCUAGAGUCCCCGCCAUUACGCGCUGGCAACUAAGAACAGGGGUUGCGCUCGUUGCGGGACUUAACCCAACAUCUCACGACACGGGCUGACGACAGCCAUGCAGCACCUGUGCACGGCCCUUACGGACCCCCCAUCUCUGGAGGAUUUCCGUGCAUGUCAAGCCUAGGUAAGGUUCUUCGCGUUGCAUCGAAUUAAGCAACAUGCUCCGCCGCUUGUGCGGGCCCCCGUCAAUUCCUUUGAGUUUCUACCUUGCGGUCGUACUCCCCAGGCGGGGUACUUCCUGCGUUAGCGCCGGCACCCAGAGGGUCGCUCCCCCAGGCACCUAGUACCCAUCGUUUACGGCGUGGACUAC
RNAcentral lists this unclassified non-coding RNA (376 nucleotides) under uncultured Gemmatimonadaceae bacterium. RNAcentral's name for it is "contains 16S-23S intergenic spacer region". Lineage: Bacteria; Pseudomonadati; Gemmatimonadota; Gemmatimonadia; Gemmatimonadales; Gemmatimonadaceae. The record is from RNAcentral.